Molecule: ribosomal RNA, 492 nt
Filed under: uncultured bacterium
Lineage: Bacteria
Description: partial 16S ribosomal RNA
Rfam family: Bacterial small subunit ribosomal RNA
Source: RNAcentral
AGUGAACGCUGGCGGUAGGCCUAACACAUGCAAGUCGAACGGCAGCACAGUAAGAGCUUGCUCUUACGGGUGGCGAGUGGCGGACGGGUGAGGAAUACAUCGGAAUCUACUUUUUCGUGGGGGAUAACGUAGGGAAGCUUACGCUAAUACCGCAUACGACCUACGGGUGAAAGCAGGGGAUCUUCGGACCUUGCGCGAUUGAAUGAGCCGAUGUCGGAUUAGCUAGUUGGCGGGGUAAAGGCCCACCAAGGCGACGAUCCGUAGCUGGUCUGAGAGGAUGAUCAGCCACACUGGAACUGAGACACGGUCCAGACUCCUACGGGAGGCAGCAGUGUGGAAUAUUGGACAAUGGGCGCAAGCCUGAUCCAGCCAUACCGCGUGGGUGAAGAAGGCCUUCGGGUUGUAAAGCCCUUUUGUUGGGAAAGAAAAGCAGCAGGUUAAUACCCCGCUGUUCUGACGGUACCCAAAGAAUAAGCACCGGCUAACUUCGUG